GCUCCCUAAACCUAAGAUCAGGCCACCAGAGCUAUGGUCCUUUUCAUAGCUUUUUCCACAACAGUUGAUCGCAACUAGGUGUGAAAUUGCAUGUAAAGAGAACAACCACUGGUUGGGGUUUUCACUAUAGCCAAACUGGAAUUAGUCCAAACGUGACACCGCUACACAACCCCUCUAAUUCUAUGUUACACUCAGACCCGGGUAUAGGGUCCCACUCAUGAUAUGUACAAUAAUAAUAAAAAGAUAGAAAUAAAUUAACAAAAUAACUAAAGACAAUCAUAUAUAAAAAUAAAAUGAAGUAAAAUAAAAUAAAAUAAAACAAAAUAAAAUAAAGAAAAAUAAAAUAAAAUAAAAUAAAAUAAAAAACCACAUCAACUUUGAAUAUUUAAUUAACAAGGAUUGAUUCUCUAGUGUCCCUAGUGGAGUCGCCAGCUGUCGCAAC
This 442-nucleotide long non-coding RNA is filed under the name Vigna radiata. RNAcentral describes it as "long non-coding RNA (VRAD_LNC007826)". Lineage: Eukaryota; Viridiplantae; Streptophyta; Magnoliopsida; Fabales; Fabaceae. The record is from RNAcentral.